This 253-nucleotide ribosomal RNA is filed under the name uncultured bacterium. RNAcentral describes it as "partial 16S ribosomal RNA". It matches the Rfam family "Bacterial small subunit ribosomal RNA", at positions 524 to 776 of the family's 1533-position model. The record is from RNAcentral.
UACGUAGGGGGCAAGCGUUGUCCGGAAUCAUUGGGCGUAAAGCGCGCGUAGGCGGCCCGGUAAGUCCGCUGUAAAAGUCCAGGGCUCAACCCUGGAAAGCCGGUGGAUACUGUCGGGCUAGAGUCCGGAAGAGGCGAGUGGAAUUCCUGGUGUAGCGGUGGAAUGCGCAGAUAUCAGGAGGAACACCGGUGGCGAAGGCAGCACUCUGGGACGGUACUGGCGCUGGGACGCGAAAGCGUGGGGAGCGAACAGG